This 967-nucleotide long non-coding RNA is filed under the name Olea europaea (common olive). RNAcentral describes it as "long non-coding RNA (OEUR_LNC015218)". The record is from RNAcentral. Lineage: Eukaryota; Viridiplantae; Streptophyta; Magnoliopsida; Lamiales; Oleaceae.
CUGCACAACUUCAUACGAGGAUGACAAGACUUGACCCCAGCUCUUAUAUAGGCGCCGUGAGAUGAUAACGCCGCGUAAAUGUGUAGUUAAUCCAAAAAGUAGGAGACAGUACAGUUCAAUGUACAAAGGCAACAACGUAUGAAGCAGGUUACUCUGAAUGUGACUUCUCCUCCUCCUCCCUAUAAAUUUAGCAGACUUUCACUCUUUCUUUGCAACAAAAUUUCUUCUUUUUCACAUUCCAAUCUUCAAUUCUGUAAUUGUCUGAAAUUUUUCUAAAAUACAAUGGCGAAAAUUGAGAAACUGAGAUUCAUAACAGAAGUUGCCCCCCCGAAGUUCAUCUCAAUAACACGGCGUCCUGUCAUCAAAAUGUUGGAUACAAUCGAUGAGGAAAAGGCUUAUGCAUCAACCCUUUCGUCAUCUUUCGGCAAAGCUCUCGACCGGGAUAGAUACCCGCCAAGUCUCUCCUUUCGAGUGAGAAAUUUUUGAAAAAGAUUAUGAAUAAAGCACAGAUCAAAUUCUCUUUGAGAUGUGCUACUUAGCAUAACCAUAUAGGAUAAAUAAAUAAAGAGCACGAUAAAUAAAUAAAGAGCACGAGGAUUAGCAUGAUCUCUUUUCUAUUUCUUUGCAAUUUUGUAUAAUUUUCUGGAGAAAAAUUGUCACACAUUCUCUUCACCACCAUCUUUUAUAAGGGGUGAAUGAGCAUUUCUGUUGAUUAUUCUUACUAGUUUUGUUGCAAUUAUGCAAGCAGUGAAAUUUCCAGUAAUUUCCACUAAGUACCCGUGGCAAUUGCCGAAGGAGUCAGCAAGUGAACCAACAACAUGAUAAAUCUGGAAAGAAGGGUGACAUUGGACUAAUUUCUUGAGCAACUCAAUAUAUAAAUAUCUAUGUUUUGUUUCUUGUUUCAUUUAGAUAAAAAAUCAGAUUUUUAGUAUAUUUUAAUAAAAGUUAAUAAAAUAAAUGAUUGAAA